AGAGUGUAAAGGCAAAAGGGCUUGAUUGCAAGACAUACAGGUCGAGCAAGGAUGAAAAUCGGACUUAGUGAUCCGGUGGUUCUGCGUGGAAGGGCCAUCGCUCAACGGAUAAAAGCUACCCUGGGGAUAACAGGCUUAUCUCCCCCAAGAGUCCACAGCGACGGGGAGGUUUGGCACCUCGAUGUCGGCUCAUCACAUCCUGGGGCUGUAGUAGGUCCCAAGGGUUGGGCUGUUCGCCCAUUAAAGUGGUACGCGAGCUGGGUUCAGAACGUCGUGAGACAGUUCGGUCCCUAUCCGUCGCAGGCGUAGGAAAUUUG
RNAcentral lists this ribosomal RNA (317 nucleotides) under Clostridioides difficile. RNAcentral describes it as "partial 23S ribosomal RNA". It matches the Rfam family "Bacterial large subunit ribosomal RNA", at positions 2346 to 2664 of the family's 2925-position model. Lineage: Bacteria; Bacillati; Bacillota; Clostridia; Peptostreptococcales; Peptostreptococcaceae. The record is from RNAcentral.